Oncorhynchus tshawytscha (Chinook salmon) is the source of this 417-nucleotide long non-coding RNA. Lineage: Eukaryota; Metazoa; Chordata; Actinopteri; Salmoniformes; Salmonidae. The record is from Ensembl.
GGAGAUUUCGGAAGAUGAUUUGAAAUCGUGGAGGUAUUGAAUACACAUCGCCUCGUGAUCAAUUUGAUAGAUUAUUAACGUUUACUAAUACCUAAAGUUGGAUUACAAAAGUAUUUCGAAGUGUUUUGUGAAAGUUUAUCGUCGACUUUUUUAAUUAAAAAAAAUGACGUAGCGUUUUGAAACUGUGUUUUUUUUCUGAAUCACACAGUUUCCAUAGAUGGAUAUUUUGGGUAUAUAUGGACCGAUUUAAUCGAAAAAAAGACCCAAUAGUGAUGUUUAUGGGACAUAUAGGAGUGCCAACAAAGAAGCUCGUCCAAGGUCUGUCACAAUGUCUGCAGCUGGAUGUAAUACAUUCUGGGAGACACAUGGAGAAUAAGCAACCAUGUCGGCCUCACGGAAAGUGGACCACCUGACGGG